AUACGGAGGGAGCGAGCGUUAAUCGGAAUUACUGGGCGUAAAGCGCGCGUAGGCGGCUUUUUAAGUCGGAUGUGAAAGCCCUGGGCUCAACCUGGGAAUGGCAUUCGAAACUGCAGAGCUAGAGUAUGGUAGAGGGAAGUGGAAUUUCCGGUGUAGCGGUGAAAUGCGUAGAUAUCGGAAGGAACACCAGUGGCGAAGGCGACUUCCUGGGCCAAUACUGACGCUGAGGUGCGAAAGCGUGGGGAGCAAACAGGAUUAGAAACCCCAGUAGUCC
RNAcentral lists this ribosomal RNA (274 nucleotides) under uncultured bacterium. Its description in RNAcentral is "partial 16S ribosomal RNA". It matches the Rfam family "Bacterial small subunit ribosomal RNA", at positions 523 to 796 of the family's 1533-position model. The record is from RNAcentral.